AGUGUAGGCGGUUUGAUAAGUCUUCUGUGAAAUCUACGGGCUUAGCCUGUAACGUGCAGAGGAAACUGUCAGGCUUGAGUGUCGGAGAGGAUAGGGGAAUUCCCGGUGUAGAGGUGAAAUUCGUAGAGAUCGGGAGGAACACCAGUGGCGAAGGCGCCUAUCUGGCUGACAACUGACGCUGAGACUCGAAAGCAUGGGGAGCAAACAGGAUUAGAUACCCUGGUAGUCCAUGCCGUAAACGAUGAUAGCUAGAUGUGUGAGGUAUUGACCCCUUACGUGUCGAAGUCAACACGAUAAGCUAUCCGCCUGGGGAGUACGGUCGCAAGAUUAAA
This 332-nucleotide ribosomal RNA is filed under the name uncultured Pseudomonadota bacterium. Its description in RNAcentral is "bacterial SSU rRNA". It matches the Rfam family "Bacterial small subunit ribosomal RNA", at positions 568 to 898 of the family's 1533-position model. Lineage: Bacteria; Pseudomonadati; Pseudomonadota. The record is from RNAcentral.